RNAcentral lists this ribosomal RNA (301 nucleotides) under uncultured bacterium. Its description in RNAcentral is "partial 16S ribosomal RNA". It matches the Rfam family "Bacterial small subunit ribosomal RNA", at positions 509 to 807 of the family's 1533-position model. The record is from RNAcentral.
CAGCAGCCGCGGGAAUACGAAGGAUGCAAGCGCUACUCGGAAUUACUGGGCGUAAAGCGUGCGUAGGUGGUGGUUUAAGUCCGUUGUGAAAGCCCUGGGCUCAACCUGGGAAUUGCAGUGGAUACUGGGUCACUAGAGUGUGGUAGAGGAUAGUGGAAUUUCCGGUGUAGCAGUGAAAUGCGUAGAGAUCGGAAGGAACAUCUGUGGCGAAGGCGACUAUCUGGGCCAACACUGACACUGAGGCACGAAAGCGUGGGGAGCAAACAGGAUUAGAUACCCCGGUAGUCCCUGUCUCUUAUAC